ACGGGACCCGCACAAGCGGUGGAUGAUGUGGAUUAAUUCGAUGCAACGCGAAAACCUUACCUACCCUUGACAUGUCCGGAAUCCUGCAGAGAUGCGGGAGUGCUCGAAAGGGAAUCGGAACACAGGUGCUGCAUGGCUGUCGUCAGCUCGUGUCGUGAGAUGUUGGGUUAAGUCCCGCAACGAGCGCAACCCUUAUCAUUAGUUGCUACGCAAGGGCACUCUAAUGAGACUGCCGGUGACAAACCGGAGGAAGGUGGGGAUGACGUCAAGUCCUCAUGGCCCUUAUGGGUAGGGCUUCACACGUCAUACAAUGGUCGGUACAGAGGGUUGCCAAGCCGCGAGGUGGAGCCAAUCCCAGAAAGCCGAUCGUAGUCCGGAUUGUUCUCUGCAACUCGAGAGCAUGAAGUCGGAAUCGCUAGUAAUCGCGGAUCAGCAUGUCGCGGUGAAUACGUUCCCGGGUCUU
RNAcentral lists this ribosomal RNA (463 nucleotides) under uncultured Thiobacillus sp. RNAcentral's name for it is "bacterial SSU rRNA". It matches the Rfam family "Bacterial small subunit ribosomal RNA", at positions 916 to 1381 of the family's 1533-position model. Lineage: Bacteria; Pseudomonadati; Pseudomonadota; Betaproteobacteria; Nitrosomonadales; Thiobacillaceae. The record is from RNAcentral.